UGGACAUACGCUGCGCGGGCUCUGUACACACAUGAAAGUCGAACGAUGAUCAGGAGCUUGCUCCUGUGAUUAGUGGCGAACGGGUGAGUAACACGUGAGUAACCUGCCCCUGACUCUGGGAUAAGCGUUGGAAACGACGUCUAAUACUGGAUAUGAUCACUGGCCGCAUGGUCUGGUGGUGGAAAGAUUUUUUGGUUGGGGAUGGACUCGCGGCCUAUCAGCUUGUUGGUGAGGUAAUGGCUCACCAAGGCGACGACGGGUAGCCGGCCUGAGAGGGUGACCGGCCACACUGGGACUGAGACACGGCCCAGACUCAUACGGGAGGCAGCAGUGGGGAAUAUUGCACAAUGGGCGAAAGCCUGAUGCAGCAACGCCGCGUGAGGGAUGACGGCCUUCGGGUUGUAAACCUCUUUUAGUAGGGAAGAGCGAAAGUGACGGGUCCUGCAGAAAGAGCACCGGCUAACUACGUGCUAGCAGCCGCGGUAAUACGUAGGGUGCAAGCGUUGUCGGAAUUAUGGGCGUAAAGAGCUCGUAGGCGGUUUGUCGCGUCUGCUGUGAAAUCCCGAGCUCAACCUCGGCUUGCAGUGGGUACGGGCAGAC
This 600-nucleotide ribosomal RNA is filed under the name Curtobacterium flaccumfaciens. Its description in RNAcentral is "bacterial SSU rRNA". It matches the Rfam family "Bacterial small subunit ribosomal RNA", at positions 26 to 641 of the family's 1533-position model. Lineage: Bacteria; Bacillati; Actinomycetota; Actinomycetes; Micrococcales; Microbacteriaceae. The record is from RNAcentral.